CUACGGGCGGCUGCAGUGGGGAAUAUUGGACAAUGGGGGAAACCCUGAUCCAGCAAUGCCGCGUGUGUGAAGAAGGCCUGCGGGUUGUAAAGCACUUUCGGUUGGGAGGACUGCUUCUAGCACUAAUAUUGUUGGAAGUUGACGUUACCUUCAGAAGAAGCACCGGCUAACUCCGUGCCAGCAGCCGUGGUGAAUACGGAGGGUGCAAGCGUUAAUCGGAAUUACUGGGCGUAAAGCGCGCGUAGGCGGCUAGAUCAGUCGGGUGUGAAAGCCCCGGGCUUAACCUGGGAACUGCAUCCGAUACUGUCUAGCUUGAGUACAGGAGAGGAGAGUGGAAUUCCACAUGUAGCGGUGAAAUGCGUAGAUAUGUGGAGGAACACCAAUGGCGAAGGCAGCUCUCUGGCCUGAUACUGACGCUGAGGUGCGAAAGCGUGGGGAGCAAACAGGAUUAGAUACCCUAGUAGUC
RNAcentral lists this ribosomal RNA (466 nucleotides) under uncultured bacterium. Its description in RNAcentral is "partial 16S ribosomal RNA". It matches the Rfam family "Bacterial small subunit ribosomal RNA", at positions 339 to 795 of the family's 1533-position model. The record is from RNAcentral.